UGUGGGAGCUGGCUUGCCUGCGAUGCAGGCACCUCGGUAUGUCAGUGAGACCGAGGCGAUUUGAUCGCAGGCAAGCCAGCUCCUACA
Molecule: unclassified non-coding RNA, 87 nt
Filed under: Pseudomonas gessardii
Lineage: Bacteria; Pseudomonadati; Pseudomonadota; Gammaproteobacteria; Pseudomonadales; Pseudomonadaceae
Source: RNAcentral